ACAAGUUUAACGGCCGCGGUAUUUUGACCGUGCAAAGGUAGCGCAAUCACUUGUCUUUUAAAUAGAGACCCGUAUGAAUGGCUAAACGAGGGCUUAACUGUCUCCCUUUUCAAGUCAGUGAAAUUGAUCUACCCGUGCAGAAGCGGGUAUAACAAUACAAGACGAGAAGACCCUUUGGAGCUUAAGGUACAAAACUCAACCACACCAAGCAACUUAUAAAAAGUAAAAACUUUGUGAAACAUGAGGUUUUACCUUCGGUUGGGGCGACCGCGGAGGAAAAUAAAGCCUCCAAGUGGACCGGGACAAACUCCUAAAACCAAGAGAAACAUCUCUAAGCCACAGAACAUCUGACCAAACAUGAUCCGGCCACCAGGACCGAUCAACGAACCAAGUUACCCUAGGGAUAACAGCGCAAUCCUCUCCCAGAGUCCAUAUCGACGAGGGGGUUUACGACCUCGAUGUUGGAUCAGGACAUCCUAAUGGUGCAGCCGCUAUUAAGGGUUCGUUUGUUCAACGAUUAAAGUCCUACGUGAUC
RNAcentral lists this ribosomal RNA (535 nucleotides) under Tor douronensis (river carp). RNAcentral's name for it is "partial 16S ribosomal RNA". It matches the Rfam family "Bacterial large subunit ribosomal RNA", at positions 1918 to 2605 of the family's 2925-position model. The record is from RNAcentral. Lineage: Eukaryota; Metazoa; Chordata; Actinopteri; Cypriniformes; Cyprinidae.